GUACACGCUGUGACUAGCAUAUCAAUAAGCGGAGGAAAAGAAACUAACAAGGAUUCCCUCAGUAACGGCGAGUGAAGCGGGAAGAGCUCAAAUUUGAAAUCUUGAAAGGUCACCUUUCACGAAUUGUAGUUUAAAGAAGUGUUUUCUGUUACGAUCGUAAUAUAAGUUCUUUGGAAUAGGACAUCACAGAGGGUGAGAAUCCCGUCUAUGAUUGCGAUUUGUAGCUUUGUGAUACACUUUCAAAGAGUCGGGUUGUUUGGGAAUGCAGCCCAAAACGGGAGGUAAAUUUCUUCUAAGGCUAAAUAUUGGCGAGAGACCGAUAGCGAACAAGUACCGUGAGGGAAAGAUGAAAAGAACUUUGAAAAGAGAGUUAAAUAGUACGUGAAAUUGUCAAAAGGGAAGCGUUUAACACCAGUGUUGUUUUCUGAAAAUCAACCUCUGUUAGCUUUAUGCAUGUUUGUUUAGACCUAAUCAGCUAUCUUGCAUGUUCUAUUGUUUGCAGUGGUGCACUUUUCAGUUUACAGGUCAACAUCAGUUUUUUUUACCGUAAAAAAGUUAAAGAAAGGUAGCUCAUGGCUCCGGUCGUGAGUGUUAUAGUCUUUUUCCUAUGCGGUAGGAGAGACUGAGGUCUGCAGUGUAGGCUAUUUGGCUAGAUACUCAGGUGCUAUGUGAUACCAUUUCAUAAACAACUUGUUGAUUAUGUUUUGUCUAUUGCAUACUCGCUUGUACUAUCAUACCUACGCUUAGGAUGUUGAACUACUGAGACAUAGA
RNAcentral lists this ribosomal RNA (771 nucleotides) under uncultured Neocallimastigales. RNAcentral describes it as "partial large subunit ribosomal RNA". It matches the Rfam family "Eukaryotic large subunit ribosomal RNA", at positions 22 to 644 of the family's 3401-position model. Lineage: Eukaryota; Fungi; Neocallimastigomycota; Neocallimastigomycetes; Neocallimastigales. The record is from RNAcentral.